AAAUUCAUUGAGUUUUUUCAUAAGAACGUUUUUAAUGAGGUUUUCUUCGUACCGUAAGAAUUUUAUAAUGUGUUGGGCUAAGUGUGCAAUUAUUAUUAUGAUAUCUAUUGUAAUUGUCUAUGGUAUUUCAUUAUGGAAUGAAAUUUCUUUUUUAAAAAAAAAAUUAUUUCAAGUUCAUGAUAAAUAUAUUACAUAGAAUUAUUUUGUCACAUUUUAGAUACUAAAAUAGCUAAGUUCUAGAAUUUGAAGUUCGAAUUUAGAUAGCUUUAUUUGCUUUUCUUAACUUAGAUUCUGUUGAGUCAAUUUAAUUCAAUAUUUUUAGUUUAAUUUUAUGUUAAUAUUUCUUAAGUUUAGCUAUUACUGAUUUAGUCUCUUGUUUUUUAUGGUUCUCAAAUAAAAAGGCCUUAAUUUGUGAUGAAACAUACAAGUAUGGCUAAGUGCAUCUCUCAUACAUGAAGCAGUAUUUUGAGCAUAACCUGCACUACAGAAGCCCAAUUGAUGUAAUUCUUGAGUCCUUGGAAAGCUAAGAGAAAAAGAUACAACUUUCUUGUUUACCACAUUGCCCAGUUCACUUCAGAUCAAAGAGAAAACCGCGUCACAAGAGGAGGGACUAUAGUAGAAUCUGCACAAGGCAGCACAUGGGAGCCAAGGCCGCAGCGCCAAGAUUCAGUAGGGCAGUAUACAUGGACCAGAGAGGAGAGUGCCACAGCCAUGGUGAAGGAAGGCCACUACACCUAGGAGAAGAAAAGGAUGCAUACUUCCACUCGUGAGCAAGGCGCCGCGAUGCCCAAGGAGCAAAGCUGCUGUGCUGUGCCUUCCACCUAAAAAUCUACUUCUAUGAAGUUUUUAAAAAUAGGGUUAUUGGGAGGUAUUUAAAAUGUCUUUCUCAGAGGAUUCAAAGAAGGAAUAAAGAGCAGCUUUUCUGGAUAAAAAAGAACAAACAACAAAAUAAGAAAGCAAGGGAAAACAAUGAAUAUUGGACAUUUAAAAGCUGCAAACCUUAGUUUCUCUCUUUACUUUUGUUCUUCUCUUACUUUCUUUGACUUGUGUUGAUGGUUGAUUGUCUUUGGAUGAUGUUUUUAGUAGAUAUUAUGAGCUAAUUUACUUUUGCAAGGAUUAAGAUUGAACUCAAUAUGUAAUUUGAA
RNAcentral lists this long non-coding RNA (1145 nucleotides) under Theobroma cacao (cacao). RNAcentral's name for it is "long non-coding RNA (TCAC_LNC002305)". Lineage: Eukaryota; Viridiplantae; Streptophyta; Magnoliopsida; Malvales; Malvaceae. The record is from RNAcentral.